CGUUAAUAUGCCUUCCGAUUAUGAACAGGAUAUAUAAUAUGCUUGUUUCCACUUGUCCGUCAUAGUGUAUUACUUUACUUCAAACAAGAUGAACAAGGCAGUAAUCUUCCUUCUGCUGGCGGUUGUGGCGACGGCCAUCGCCAAGCCUAACGUCAAGGUGGAGAAGCGGUCCGAAGUCUUAAUGGAGCCCUUGACCUAUCGGUACCGUUAUGUGUACCCUGGGUACUCUGGGUACCGGUAUUACUCGUACUACCCUUACGAUCCGCUGUACCCCUACAGCCCCGUUUACUAUAAGAAAUGAAGUGACUAAAUAUAUAUAAUUUGAACGGAAA
Manduca sexta (tobacco hornworm) is the source of this 332-nucleotide long non-coding RNA. RefSeq lists it as uncharacterized. The record is from RefSeq and is a predicted model, not a curated record. The transcript is spliced from 2 exons. Lineage: Eukaryota; Metazoa; Arthropoda; Insecta; Lepidoptera; Sphingidae.